Ictidomys tridecemlineatus (thirteen-lined ground squirrel) is the source of this 72-nucleotide non-coding RNA. The record is from Rfam. NCBI's taxonomy places the organism in Eukaryota, Metazoa, Chordata, Mammalia, Rodentia, Sciuridae.
AGGGGUGUAGCUCGGUGCUAGAGUAUAUACUUUGCAUGUAUAAGGCUUUGGGUUCAAGCCCCAGCAGCAAUA